AGUAAAGUGUCUGAGAAAAAAAAGAGUAAUUUUGAUAGAAUUAAAUAUGUAGACAUCUACCUUUACUA
This 68-nucleotide transfer RNA is filed under the name Xylotrechus grayii. RNAcentral describes it as "tRNA-Ile". The record is from RNAcentral. Lineage: Eukaryota; Metazoa; Arthropoda; Insecta; Coleoptera; Cerambycidae.